RNAcentral lists this ribosomal RNA (275 nucleotides) under uncultured Bdellovibrio sp. RNAcentral's name for it is "partial 16S ribosomal RNA". It matches the Rfam family "Bacterial small subunit ribosomal RNA", at positions 338 to 627 of the family's 1533-position model. The record is from RNAcentral. Lineage: Bacteria; Pseudomonadati; Bdellovibrionota; Bdellovibrionia; Bdellovibrionales; Pseudobdellovibrionaceae.
CCUACGGGGGGCUGCAGUAGGGAAUAUUGCACAAUGGAGGAAACUCUGAUGCAGCGACGCCGCGUGAGCGAUGAAGGAUUUCGGUCUGUAAAGCUCUGUCGUAAGGGAAUAACAAAAUGAAUGUACCUUGCAAGAAAGGAUCGGCUAACUUCGUGCCAGCAGCCGCGGUAAGACGAGGGAUCCUAGCGUUGUUCGGAAUUAUUGGGCGUAAAGCGGGUGUAGGUGGCUUUGUAAGUCAGGUGUGAAAUCCCAGGGCUCAACCCUGGAAGUGCAUU